Molecule: long non-coding RNA, 447 nt
Organism: Ornithorhynchus anatinus (platypus)
Lineage: Eukaryota; Metazoa; Chordata; Mammalia; Monotremata; Ornithorhynchidae
Exons: 3
Source: RefSeq, a predicted model, not a curated record
UCCCUGGUGGAUGGUGGGUUUGAAAUCAUCCUUCAGCGUGACCUCUGUGGUCAUCACCAACCGAGGAGACUGCUGCCCCGAUCGCCUGAACGGAGCGGAGAUUCGAGUCGGAAACUCACCCGUGAAGGGAGGCAGGACCAAUCCCAGAUGUGCCACCAUCGUCUGCAUGGGCUUCGGAGAGACUCGCUCCUUCCGUUGUGGGGGCAUGAGCGGGCGGAUGGCACCGAGGAGCACGGUUCGACCCCAGGAAUCAUCGAGGCAACCCACCCCCUUCUCCUAUGUGAAGAAGGGUCCCAGGAGGGGAUGCCCCAGAGAGACGGAGAGCUGCGGGUCCCACCCACCUCACCCACCCUUCCGCCACCCGGCCGCAGAGUCGGACAGUGUGCCACCCGGGUCUUGGUGUGCGAAAGGCAGAGGGAGAGAGCAGGUGAAAACAGGUUGUAUUUU